GAUGAACGCUAGCUACAGGCUUAACACAUGCAAGUCGAGGGGAAACGACAUCGAAAGCUUGCUUUUGAUGGGCGUCGACCGGCGCACGGGUGAGUAACGCGUAUCCAACCUGCCCACCACUUGGGGAUAACCUUGCGAAAGUAAGACUAAUACCCAAUGAUAUCUCUAGAAGACAUCUGAAAGAGAUUAAAGAUUUAUCGGUGAUGGAUGGGGAUGCGUCUGAUUAGCUUGUUGGCGGGGUAACGGCCCACCAAGGCUACGAUCAGUAGGGGUUCUGAGAGGAAGGUCCCCCACAUUGGAACUGAGACACGGUCCAAACUCCUACGGGAGGCAGCAGUGAGGAAUAUUGGUCAAUGGGCGAGAGCCUGAACCAGCCAAGUAGCGUGCAGGAUGACUGCCCUAUGGGUUGUAAACUGCUUUUAUAAGGGAAUAAAGUGAGUCUCGUGAGACUUUUUGCAUGUACCUUAUGAAUAAGGACCGGCUAAUUCCGUGCCAGCAGCCGCCGCGG
Molecule: ribosomal RNA, 508 nt
Filed under: uncultured bacterium
Lineage: Bacteria
Description: partial 16S ribosomal RNA
Rfam family: Bacterial small subunit ribosomal RNA
Source: RNAcentral